Molecule: long non-coding RNA, 1689 nt
Filed under: Dromaius novaehollandiae (emu)
Lineage: Eukaryota; Metazoa; Chordata; Aves; Casuariiformes; Dromaiidae
Description: lncRNA (ENSDNVG00000012694.1)
Source: RNAcentral
AAAUUUUAUUUUUCUUCUCCUUAUAGGGUUAUCUGACAAACUGCYUAAAAGAGAACCUUAAAAGAAGAUCUUUUCCCAGAGAAGAAACCAAGGCACAAAGUACCCUACAGCCAGAGGAGCUGUUCUGCAGGCUGAAGACUGGGAAGGCACCAGCAGUGAAACUGAAGCAGCGAUGGUGGUUGGGCAAUGGGUGAGAGCAAAAAGAGUGCAUUCCUUGAUGUUGUGCAGUUUUUACAUCAGAGUUGGGAUGUGUGAUGUCCUACAGGCUAAACAAACAGGAUCCAGAGGCAAGCUGAAGUGUAAGCCGUAAGCGUAAGCUUCUGUCGGGUCAUGUGACCUUGCCAUAAAGAGAGCAGUUUUAAAAAGCUUCAGAUGGAGCCAGGAUAGUCUGAGUCUGGGAGAAGGCUGAAUGAAGAUAUAAGGACUUUGAAAGAAAGGCUAGAAAAGACCUGAGGGAGGAGAGAAAGAGCCUGAUUAGCCAGUGGUCACUUACCUCCAGAAAAAUUUAAUUGAUCAUUUAAGAUCAAUUGGAAGAGAGCAUGGCUUGCUUUCUUCUUAAAAGCUCUAAACAAUGCUUUCUUAUUAAGAGUCUGCUGAAGAGAAAAUAUUAAUAACACUUAUUGUAAAGUGGUCAGAGAGGAAUUGAACUGCUUUUUGUUGAUAAACUUAAGCAUCUCCAAAAUCAGAGGAGUUUUGUUAGCUGACUUCUUGCAGCCCUGACAAUUCUGCUCAUAGGGAUCAUAAGAAUGCACUGAACUAUGCUGGAGAAAUUCUGUUCAAAAUCAGCUGCUACAAAUGCGUUUGGCUUCCCAGGUGUGGGCAGUGCCAGUUCUGUGCCAGAGCUAAUCUGUGGUCUUAAAACACACUAAAAAAGACAAGUAAACAAAAAGAAAGGCUUCAUCCAGGGGAUCCAGAGGAGAAAAUUGUGGCCUGACGUAAAACCCAGUGGGUCCCACUAACGUCUCAAAACAAGUUGUUCCAGGCAAUGUUCUUCACCUGAUUACCCCAUUCCUGUGCCUCAGGAGAUCCUGCCCCCUGAACAACAAGAUUAAAGCUCUGUUGAACAAAACUGGCACAAUUCUACCACAUUCAAAAAUUUGUUAACCUUAACAGUAUAGAUACUUCGGUCUCAUUCCCCUUUCCAUCUCCAUAAGCUGCUGAAUCACAGCUUCUUAAUGAUUGCAGCUGGUCUCACUAAGGGAUUAUUUAGUAUUUGUGAAAAAUCUAGUCCCUAAUUACUAUAUCCUGUUAGGAAUGUGCUGGCUCUAAUUGUGUAACAGUGGUGGAGGCUGAGGAUGCUUUUCUCUCUUAAGAGAUUCUCAGCACUUGGAAGACCAGACCUUGAGUCAUUUAGAAGCUAGUUUUUGCCCUUCUUUUUAAUCUGUGGCUGUGAUGGUUGCUGCCCUGCCCAAAGGCAAGGCUUGAGCUAGGACCCUUCAGAACCAAGAGCACAUGCUUGGUUCCUUGAGCAAAGCAGUUUGAUGCCUUAAACUUUCUGUGGCUCAGUAACAGAAAAGAUCCAAUGGUCAGUGGGUUAUGCUUACAGAAUUUUCCAUUGGUUUCUGUCAGGAACAUUGAUUUCUCCAACUAUAUUCUUCGAAUUUGUUGACAUUUAGUUAGUCACAUAUUUAUUAUUUUCAAACUGCAUUGUCUUUCAUGUAUUUGCAAUAAAGACAGUAUAAUGUUACA